Molecule: long non-coding RNA, 871 nt
Organism: Parus major (Great Tit)
Lineage: Eukaryota; Metazoa; Chordata; Aves; Passeriformes; Paridae
Exons: 3
Source: RefSeq, a predicted model, not a curated record
CCUUAAAGGAUCCUUUUUUGAAAGGACAGUCAAACAGUGACUGAAGUCUUGGCCCACUGGAGUAAAAAAAAAAGCUCUGUUUGCUUCAAAACAUCUCUCACCAUUCUGCCCUAUUUCUUGAGCUGACAGCCAGUCUUCACAAGGAAAAGAUCUCCUUAAUUACAAGCCUUCAGAUUGGUGAUGAAGACAUAGCUUGGUCUUUCCCAAAUCCUUCAUCCACCAUAUAUCUUUAACUCAUUCUCUUCUCACCAUGACACUUACAGGCUGCUACUACACUCUGCUGGUGAAGCUGAGGUAAACUGGUUCUGUCCUGGAGCAAUGAUGCAGUUUGGGUAGUUGUGGUUGUAUGCAAUGAUUUUGAAUUUUUUUUUUUUUUUUAAUCACUGUAUGAUGAGAACAUUGUAUUGUGGCUUGUGUGGGACUAUUUCUUAUUAUCAGAUGGAAAAGGAAACUGUCUUUUUUAUGUGGUUGAUGAUUCUAGUAGAAUGUAAAGCUAAAGUUCUUUGCUGAAGUGGUGUCUGUGUCUGCUUAUAAAGAAUCAGAAAAUAAGGUGAAGUGUUUGGUUUUUUAAGACAAAUAUUUUGGUACCUUUUUCUGACUGAAAGGAGGAGUGGUUACAAUGGGCUUUGCCAUGUCAGCAAAUGAAACAUAAAGUAAUGAUGAAUUUGGAUUUUAGGUUUACUUUUGUGGGCUUUGACUAAUGUUAAAAUAUCUGGGCUGUGUUUGGUGCUAACUAUUCUUUCAAAUAAUUUCAUUUUUCCAUGAUGCUCUCAUCACUAAUGGCUAGCAGAAGAGGGCUGUCUUUCUAAUUAGGACUUUUCAGGCUGCUGGUAGUAAUUUGCACAUUGACUCUUACAUGCCUAAUUGUGAG